CCUACGGGAGGCAGCAGUGAGGAAUAUUGGUCAAUGGACGAGAGUCUGAACCAGCCAAGUAGCGUGAAGGAUGACUGCCCUAUGGGUUGUAAACUUCUUUUAUAUGGGAAUAAAAUGUUCCACGUGUGGGAUUUUGUAUGUACCAUAUGAAUAAGGAUCGGCUAAAUCCUUGCCAGCAGCCGCGGUAAUACGGAGGAUCCGAGCGUUUUCCGGAUUUAUUGGGUUUAAAGGGGGCGUAGGUGGAUUGUUAAGUCAGUUGUGAAAGUUUGCGGCUCAACCGUAAAAUUGCAGUUGAAACUGGCAGUCUUGAGUACAGUAGAGGUGGGCGGAAUUCGUGGUGUAGCGGUGAAAUGCUUAGAUAUCACGAAGAACCCCGAUUGCGAAGGCAGCUUACUAAACUGUGACUGACAUUGAUGCUCGAAAGUGUGGGUAUCAAACAGGAUUAGAUACCCUAGUAGUC
Molecule: ribosomal RNA, 460 nt
Filed under: uncultured bacterium
Lineage: Bacteria
Description: partial 16S ribosomal RNA
Rfam family: Bacterial small subunit ribosomal RNA
Source: RNAcentral